GCGAGGAGAUCUUGAUGGACGGGCCCUUUCGACAGAACCGGCGUUGAUUUGGCUUUAACAACGGCCUGAUUUGAGGCCUGGAAUCAUGGAGUCGAUAGUGGACAACUAAAAUGACUCGACUAGGAUGAUACGCUGAAAGGCCGCUGGAGAGACGUUGAUGGGGGCACGAUCGGUGGCUGAGGAGUUGUUAAGACGGUGAGGCACUGAUGGGGCAUUGAAAGACCCUGAGACAGUGCAUUGAAUAGUGGCCUCGAUUCGGGAGUUGGACAGACGCUCCCCGAACUUUCCAGAAAUAGUGACGGCUCGAGGAGAAAUAAGGCAGAAACCCUAGGGUUUCCUGCCUUGGUGUAAUAAUUUGGAUCAAUUGGGCCACUUAAAUUUUGUAAUUGGGUCAGGGGUUUUAUGGGCUGAUAGGUUUAUUGAGUUUGGUGUAUGUGUUGGGCUUCGGGUGUAUUUGGGUCACACGGGUAUUGGAUUUUAGG
RNAcentral lists this long non-coding RNA (482 nucleotides) under Gossypium barbadense (sea-island cotton). RNAcentral describes it as "long non-coding RNA (GBAR_LNC004950)". Lineage: Eukaryota; Viridiplantae; Streptophyta; Magnoliopsida; Malvales; Malvaceae. The record is from RNAcentral.